This is a long non-coding RNA of Carassius carassius (crucian carp), 623 nucleotides long. RefSeq lists it as uncharacterized. Lineage: Eukaryota; Metazoa; Chordata; Actinopteri; Cypriniformes; Cyprinidae. The record is from RefSeq and is a predicted model, not a curated record. The transcript is spliced from 3 exons.
UAUAAGUUCAGAGAUAAAAUUCUUGAUUCCUCAUUUCCUUCAGCAUCUUCAAAUACCAGGAUCCGUCUGCCUUUGCAGAUGCCUCUUUUUGUGGUGAAGGUGAAGUGUUGGCAUAAAGCAGUAUCCCAUGAGGAGCUGUUCUCGGCUGAGUGAACGUGCGGAGAUCAGCAAACAGUGUUUCAGGAUUGUCCUUGAUCUGUUUCUGUCUGUGGAUCUGUCUAGAAUGCUCUGAGCUCUUCUGAGGGUACACAAAGGGGCGGGGCCAAUGUGCUGCAGCAGCCAUUGCUGAUUUUAGAAUGGCUCUUGGUUAUUUGUUGCUGCUUGAUGUGUGAUCUUCUCCUCUGUUUCUGUGAGGUUUAGUCUGUGGGUGUCUUCAGACAGGUCUCGGUCUGGAAGUGUCUCAGUUUGAGAGAUCUUCUCUCUGUGGCAGUGCUGUGGCCCUUUGAGUUGCUCUCAUCUGAUUGUCUUCUGUUGUUUUUUUUUUCUUGGUUAAUUUAAACUCUUCUUGUGAAUAAUAUCGAUUAUCGAUUGUAUGAGGUUUCCUUGUUUAAAAUUUGUCAGAACUGAAUGUCUGUCUUGUUUUAAAAUAAUAUCAAAAGUUAAAUGAUCAGGAGCUCAUCUUA